RNAcentral lists this ribosomal RNA (479 nucleotides) under uncultured Alphaproteobacteria bacterium. Its description in RNAcentral is "bacterial SSU rRNA". It matches the Rfam family "Bacterial small subunit ribosomal RNA", at positions 1 to 491 of the family's 1533-position model. The record is from RNAcentral. Lineage: Bacteria; Pseudomonadati; Pseudomonadota; Alphaproteobacteria.
CCAUAUGGUCGACCUGCAGGCGGCCGCGAAUUCACUAGUGAUUAGAGUUGAUCAUGGGUCAGAACGAACGCUGGCGGCAUGCCUAACACAUGCAAGUCGAACGAAGGCUUCGGCCUUAGUGGCGCACGGGUGCGUAACGCGUGGGAAUCUGCCCCUUGGUUCGGAAUAACAGUUAGAAAUGACUGCUAAUACCGGAUGAUAUCGCGAGAUCAAAGAUUUAUCGCCUGAGGAUGAGCCCGCGUAGGAUUAGCUAGUUGGUGUGGUAAAGGCGCACCAAGGCGACGAUCCUUAGCUGGUCUGAGAGGAUGAUUAGCCACACUGGGACUGAGACACGGCCCAGACUCCUACGGGAGGCAGCAGUGGGGAAUAUUGGACAAUGGGCGAAAGCCUGAUCCAGCAAUGCCGCGUGAGUGAUGAAGGCCUUAGGGCUGUAAAGCUCUUUUACCCGGGAUGAUAAUGACAGUACCGGGAGAAUAAGC